RNAcentral lists this ribosomal RNA (429 nucleotides) under uncultured beta proteobacterium. Its description in RNAcentral is "bacterial SSU rRNA". It matches the Rfam family "Bacterial small subunit ribosomal RNA", at positions 355 to 776 of the family's 1533-position model. The record is from RNAcentral. Lineage: Bacteria; Pseudomonadati; Pseudomonadota; Betaproteobacteria.
UGGGGAAUUUUGGACAAUGGGGGCAACCCUGAUCCAGCCAUGCCGCGUGAGUGAAGAAGGCCUUCGGGUUGUAAAGCUCUUUCGGCGGGGACGAAACGGUUCGUGACAACACCACGGACUAAUGACGGUACUCGCAGAAGAAGCACCGGCUAACUACGUGCCAGCAGCCGCGGUAAUACGUAGGGUGCAGGCGUUAAUCGGAAUUACUGGGCGUAAAGCGUGCGCAGGCGGCUCCUUAAGUCAGAUGUGAAAUCCCCGGGCUUAACCUGGGAACUGCGUUUGAAACUGAGGGGCUAGAGUGUGGAAGAGGGGGGUGGAAUUCCAGGUGUAGCAGUGAAAUGCGUAGAGAUCUGGAGGAACACCGAUGGCGAAGGCAGCCCCCUGGGCUAACACUGACGCUCAUGCACGAAAGCGUGGGGAGCAAACAGG